This 108-nucleotide non-coding RNA is filed under the name Escherichia coli. RNAcentral's name for it is "antisense sRNA RprA". It matches the Rfam family "RprA RNA". Rfam says of the family: Translational regulation of the stationary phase sigma factor RpoS is mediated by the formation of a double-stranded RNA stem-loop structure in the upstream region of the rpoS messenger RNA, occluding the translation initiation site. Clones carrying rprA (RpoS regulator RNA A) increased the translation of RpoS. The rprA gene encodes a 106 nucleotide regulatory RNA. The record is from RNAcentral. RNAcentral also lists the same sequence under 27 other names. Lineage: Bacteria; Pseudomonadati; Pseudomonadota; Gammaproteobacteria; Enterobacterales; Enterobacteriaceae.
ACGGUUAUAAAUCAACAUAUUGAUUUAUAAGCAUGGAAAUCCCCUGAGUGAAACAACGAAUUGCUGUGUGUAGUCUUUGCCCAUCUCCCACGAUGGGCUUUUUUUUUA